UACAGAGGGGGCAAGCGUUAUUCGGAAUUAUUGGGCGUAAAGAGCGUGUAGGCGGCCUGACAGGUCUGCUGUGAAAACUCGAGGCUCAACCUCGAGAUGUCGGCGGAAACCGUCUGGCUAGAGUCCGGAAGAGGAGAGUGGAAUUCCUGGUGUAGCGGUGAAAUGCGCAGAUAUCAGGAAGAACACCUAUGGCGAAGGCAGCUCUCUGGGACGGUACUGACGCUGAGACGCGAAAGCGUGGGGAGCGAACAGG
RNAcentral lists this ribosomal RNA (253 nucleotides) under uncultured bacterium. RNAcentral's name for it is "partial 16S ribosomal RNA". It matches the Rfam family "Bacterial small subunit ribosomal RNA", at positions 524 to 776 of the family's 1533-position model. The record is from RNAcentral.